This is a long non-coding RNA of Panicum hallii, 3867 nucleotides long. RefSeq lists it as uncharacterized. The record is from RefSeq and is a predicted model, not a curated record. The transcript has 4 exons. NCBI's taxonomy places the organism in Eukaryota, Viridiplantae, Streptophyta, Magnoliopsida, Poales, Poaceae.
CCUAAAUGGUUUGAUGAAUUCAAGUGGGUGGAGUAUAGUGUGCAUAGAGAUGCAGCAUAUUGCUUUGUUUGCUAUUUGUUUAAGGAUAAUAGCAAAUAUCCUGGUGGAGAUGCUUUUGUUGAUGAAGGGUUUCGGAAUUGGAAUAUGAAAAUCAGAUUUCGUAGGCAUGCAGGUGCUAUUGAUAGUGCUCAUAGUGAAGUGGAGGAGAAAUAUAAUUUGUUCAUGAAAACCUAAGACAUCAAUUCGUGAUUCUAUGGCCUCAAAUACUGCAGAUUUCAAGGCUAAGUAUCUAGCUCGUGUGACAUGGUCACUUAAGUGCAUAAGGUAUCUUUUGCGUCAGGGGUUAGCUUUUCGUGGUCAUGAUGAGGGAAAGGAUUCAAACAAUCAAGGCAAUUUCAGGGAACUUUUGGCAUGGCUGGCGGGGAAUUUUGAAGAAGUUAAUCAAGUGGUUCUUGAAAAUGCUCCACAUAAUUGUCAGAUGAUUGACCGCAAGAUUCAGAAACAACUUAUUGCUGCUUGUGCUCAUGAAACAACCAAAUUUAUUAUAGAGGAACUUGGUGAUGAAUGCUUUGCCAUUCUUGCGGAUGAGUCCAGUGAUGCAUACCAACAGGAACAAUUGGCUGUUUGCUUGCGUUAUGUCAAUAAAAAAGGAUAACACGUUGAGCGGUUUCUUGGUCUUGUGCACAUUGAAGAUACUACAUCAUUGACUCUUAAAGAAGCAAUUCAGUCCUUGCUUAUCAAAUAUCAAUUGCCCUUAUCCAAGGUACGUGGUCAAGGGUAUGAUGGAGCUAGUAAUAUAAAAGGUCAUGUUAAUGGUUUGAAGAAAUUAAUUAUGGAAGAGUCCCCUUCCGCAUAUUAUGUUCAUUGCUUCGCCCAUCAACUUCAGUUAACCCUUGUAGCUGUGGCUAAAGAGAAUAUCGAUUGUCAAUGGUUUUUUGGGCAACUUGCAUAUUUGUUGAAUGUUCUAGACAUGUCUUGCAAGAAUAUCCGCAUGCUUCGCAUAGCUCAAGCUGAAUACAUGAUUGAAGCAUUGAAAUUGGGUGAAAUUGAAACUGGCCAAGGAUUGAAUCAAGAGAUGUGUUUAGCAAGACCAGGUGAUACACGUUGGGGAUCUUAUUACAAAACUGUUAUGCAUGUGAUGCAUUUGUAUCCUUCAAUCAAGAAAGUUCUUUUUAGAGUUGGGAAAGAAGGUAAAGUUUCUGAGGCAUUAGGAGCUCAAACUAUGCUCAGAGUAUUUAACUCAUUUGAGUUUGUUUUUCUGCUCCACUUGAUGAAUGAAAUAUUUGGAUACACAAAUGACUUAUGCAAUGCUUUGCAAAAGAGAGAGCAAGAUAUUGUAAAUGCAAUGGAUCUUCUUGAGUUCACAAAGGUAGAAUUGGAUGUUUUGAGAGAGAUGCUGAAUGGGAAGAAUUUCUUAAGAAGGUCACUUCUUUUUGCGAGAAGCAUAAAGCUAAAGUUGUUGACAUGAAUGGAAAGUAUAUUCCUAUACAAAGAUCAGCUAAGUUUUAUAGAGGUGCCACUAACUACCAUUGGUUUCAUGCUGAUAUGUUUUUAGGUGUCAUUGAUAGGCAACUUCAGAGCUGAAUAACAGAUUUGAUGAGGUAAAUACAGAGCUACUUAGAUGUAUGGCAGCAUUCAGUCCAGCUAACUCCUUUUCUACCUUUGAUAUUGAGAAGUUGGUUAAGCUUGCUGGGUUCUAUCCUCAUGACUUUGACUAUGAAGAAAUGAACCAACUUUGUUUUCAACUACGUCUCUAUAUUGCUCGUGUGAGGAAUGAUGAGAACUUCAAAAAUUUGAGAAGUCUAUCAGAGUUGUCUAUGAUGCUAGUUAAAAGAAAUAUGGUUUCUCCGCAUGCCAUUGUGUAAAAACUUCUCAAACUGGUUAUAGUUCUUCCUGUUGCAACUGCUGGUGUUGAGAGAAUCUUUUCUGCAAUGAACACUAUCAAAAACAAGCUAAGAAGCAAGAUGGGGCAGAAAUUUUUGAAUAAUUGUUUGACCAAUUUAUUGAAAGGGAAUUCUUCUUGCAAGCGAAUGAUGAGGACAUCAUCAAGUAUUUUGAAGCCAUGAGGAUCGUAAAGUUAUCUUGUAAUUUGCCCGCCCCUGACGAGAUGUGGAACACCAGGUGGAUGGAUGAUGAAGACGGCAGUUCGAGACGAUAAGCAACUCGAUCGACACGCACCAGCACUUUUAAGGGCCCAAAGUACUUGAAGGCCAGUUUCUGACUAGCUCGAGCAGCAAGAGAUGACUGAACGUAUGGCUGUAGCUUAAGAAACACUUGAUCACACUCUUGAAAUUGACGCUCAGAGCGGUGGCAAUCUGCCUGCUUCUUCAUGCGCUGCUUGGCGUGAAGUAGAUGUUGUCUGAUAAGGUCAGACAUCAAUUGGCACUCUUGAAGCCAGUCAGCAAGAUCAACAAAGACCACUGCGUCCAAGGCAGAUAUACCAAAAAUGUCUGGGCUCAUGACCAUAUAGUGCAGAGAAUGGACUCCUCCUAAUUGCUGAAUGUUCACAUGUAUUGUACCAGAACUCAGCUAGUGGAAAGCCACUAUGACCACUUAGAUGGACAGGCAUUAACAAAACAUCUCAAGAAGGUUUCCAUGGUCUGAUUAAGCCUCUCAGUUUGUCCAUCAUACUGUGGAUGGUAACUAGAUGAUAUGUGUAACUUAACAUCAGCAAUUCUGAAUAAUUCCUGCCAGAACUUGCUGGUAAAAAUUCUAUCACGGUCAGACACAAUGAUAGCAGGAAGGCCAUGUAACUUGUAUACCUCAUUGAUAAAUGCCUUAGCAACCACUGUAGCAGUAAAGGGAUGCUUGAGAGGAAUAAAGUGCCCAUACUUAGUAAAGGAAUCUACUACCACCAGUAUACAAUUGGCCUGACCAGAUGGAGGAAGGCCUUCCACAAAAUCCGUUGAUAUCAUCUGCCAGGCUACAGAAGGUACCUCAAGUGGCUGUAAAAGCCCAGGCAGUUUGGACCUAUCAGGCUUGAAAUGCUGACAUACUGUACAAUGUUUGACAAAUGAGUGCACUGCAACUUUCAUUUCCUUCCUGGCAAACAAUUUCUUCAUCCUCAUGUAGGUCACUAGGACCCAGAAUGGCCUCCCAAGCCACUGGCAUGACAGGCUUGCAUUAACGUGUUUUGCAGAGUUGGAUUAGCCCCCACCCAAAUCAUAUUCUUGUAUCUGAGUAACCUAUUAUGCAGAGUAAAGUGAGCAACUGCAGAUGACUCAAUCAUCAGUUUAGCUACUACCGCAGUAGUAUGUUUGUCUUGGUGGUAACCAGACACCACUUCCUCAACCCAGUGUGGGGGGCAAGCAGAAAUAGCAGCACAGGAAGACAGGCCUAAGAACUUGGUAAAUACUUUCUGUUGCCAGCAAGUAUGAAGUCGCUGCUCAUUUAACUGCAUCAAGCUUCUCUGGUCGAUAAUCCUAAGGAUUUAGGUCCCAAGGCUUUACUAAAAAAUGCUAAUGGGUGACCAUCCUGCAUCAACACAGCACCAACACUUGUCCCAUUGGCAUCUGUUUCUAUACAGAACUGCUUAGAGAAAUCAUGAAGGGCCAGCACUGGAGCUUGGCGCAAAGCAUUUUUCAGGGCUGUAAAAGACUUUUCAUGAUCAGCUGUCCAUACAAAGACCGCUUGCUUCUUCAACAACUCAGUCAAGGGUUUACUGAUGAUCCCAAAAUGCCUCACAAACUUUCUGUAAUAACCUGCAAGGCCUAAGAAACUUCUGAGCUCUCUCACAUUCUAUGGAGAAGGCCAUUGAGAAAUAGCUGCUAUCUUGGAAGGAUCUGUCCCUACCCAGAUUCACUGAUUGCAUGGCCCAAAUAAUAGAUCUAUCUCUGGGCAAAUGAACAUUUGGACAGUUUAAUCUUC